This 444-nucleotide long non-coding RNA is filed under the name Trifolium pratense (red clover). Its description in RNAcentral is "long non-coding RNA (TPRA_LNC007366)". The record is from RNAcentral. Lineage: Eukaryota; Viridiplantae; Streptophyta; Magnoliopsida; Fabales; Fabaceae.
UGUUUUUAAAUCAUUUGAAGUAGUUGUUUUCCUUUGACCUGUUGCCGUUCGGUUGAGUAUUACUACGAAAAGGCGACAGGUGUAAAGGUUGAGCUUAGUCCUCAGGACGUGUAUCAGAACAUACAAGACAUGAAGAUAAAGAAGGAAUAUCCAUUCCGAACUGUUUUCAGUAUAUGAAAACUUAUGGCGUCGUUUCCGAAGAAUCAUGUCCCUACAGAGCAACUUAUAUAUGUCGCAGGCAAGACCGGGAACGGUUCUCCAACCGUGAGGUAGUUUGGUUUCUAAUAAAGUUUUCUCUCUAUCGUGUGUUUCUUAUUUGUAUUCGUACCCAAUGCUUUCUCUCUAUCGUGGGUUGAAUAUCAAAUUCAAUUCUAUGGGUUUGUAUUCCAAUUCUACAUGGGCAUGGGUUGAAUAUCAAAUCCAACUCUAUUGGAUGUUCAUUUU